Molecule: transfer RNA, 72 nt
Filed under: Camelus bactrianus (Bactrian camel)
Lineage: Eukaryota; Metazoa; Chordata; Mammalia; Artiodactyla; Camelidae
Also listed under: 1 other name
Rfam family: tRNA
About the family: Transfer RNA (tRNA) molecules are approximately 80 nucleotides in length. Their secondary structure includes four short double-helical elements and three loops (D, anti-codon, and T loops).
Source: Rfam by way of RNAcentral
GAGAGUAUAGCCCAGUGGUAGUGUGCAUGUUUAGCAUGCAUUAGGUCCUGGGUUCAAUCUCCAGUACCUCCA